RNAcentral lists this ribosomal RNA (497 nucleotides) under uncultured bacterium. RNAcentral describes it as "partial 16S ribosomal RNA". It matches the Rfam family "Bacterial small subunit ribosomal RNA", at positions 28 to 507 of the family's 1533-position model. The record is from RNAcentral.
GAUGAACGCUGGCGGCGUGCCUAAUACAUGCAAGUCGAGCGAACGGACGAGAAGCUUGCUUCUCUGAUGUUAGCGGCGGACGGGUGAGUAACACGUGGAUAACCUACCUAUAAUACUGGGAUAACUUCGGGAAACCGGAGCUAAUACCGGAUAAUAUUUUGAACCGCAUGGUUCAAAAGUGAAAGACGGUCUUGCUGUCUCUUAUAGAUGGAUCCGCGCUGCAUUAGCUAGUUGGUAAGGUAACGGCUUACCAAGGCAACGAUGCAUAGCCGACCUGAGAGGGUGAUCGGCCACACUGGAACUGAGACACGGUCCAGACUCCUACGGGAGGCAGCAGUAGGGAAUCUUCCGCAAUGGGCGAAAGCCUGACGGAGCAACGCCGCGUGAGUGAUGAAGGUCUUCGGAUCGUAAAACUCUGUUAUUAGGGAAGAACAUAUGUGUAAGUAACUGUGCACAUCUUGACGGUACCUAAUCAGAAAGCCACGGCUAACUACGUG